RNAcentral lists this ribosomal RNA (445 nucleotides) under uncultured bacterium. Its description in RNAcentral is "bacterial SSU rRNA". It matches the Rfam family "Bacterial small subunit ribosomal RNA", at positions 958 to 1399 of the family's 1533-position model. The record is from RNAcentral.
AACGCGAAGAACCUUACCAGGCCUUGACAUGGGUAGUAUGGACUGCAGAAACGUAGUCCUUCAGUUUGGCUGGCUACCACACAGGUGCUGCAUGGCUGUCGUCAGCUCGUGUCGUGAGAUGUUGGGUUAAGUCCCGCAACGAGCGCAACCCUCAUCCUUAGUUGCCAACACGUAAUGGUGGGAACUCUAAGGAAACUGCCGGUGAUAAGCCGGAGGAAGGUGGGGAUGACGUCAAGUCUUCAUGGCCCUUACGGCCUGGGCUACACACGUGCUACAAUGGCGGUGACAAUGGGAAGCUAGCCUGCAAGGGUAUGCUAAUCUCAAAAAGCCGUCUCAGUUCGGAUUGCACUCUGCAACUCGAGUGCAUGAAGCUGGAAUCGCUAGUAAUCGUAGAUCAGCACGCUACGGUGAAUACGUUCCCGGGCCUUGUACACACCGCUCGCGA